This 485-nucleotide ribosomal RNA is filed under the name uncultured bacterium. Its description in RNAcentral is "bacterial SSU rRNA". It matches the Rfam family "Bacterial small subunit ribosomal RNA", at positions 21 to 518 of the family's 1533-position model. The record is from RNAcentral.
GGCUCAGGACGAACGCUAGCGACGUGUCUAAGAAAUGCAAGUCGAGCGAUGAAGGAGGCUUCGGCCUCCCGAUUAGCGGCGAACGGUCGCGUAACACGUAAGCAAUCUGCCCCAAAGUUUGGGAUAGCCCGGCGAAAGUCGGAUUAAUACCGGAUGUGGAUAUGUCUUCGCAUGUGGAUAUAUCUAAAGCAGCGAUGCGCUUUGGGAUGAGCUUGCGGCCUAUCAGCUUGAUGGCGGGGUAACGGCCUGCCAUGGCGACGACGGGUAGCUGGUCUGAGAGGAUGGUCAGCCGGACUGGGACUGAGAUACGGCCCAGACUCCUACGGGGGGCAGCAAUUAAGAAUCUUGCGCAAUGGGGGCAACCCUGACGCCAGCGACGUCGCGUGAAUGAUGAAGUCUUUCGGGAUGUAAAGUUCUUUUGUCAAGGAAGAGUAUUAGACGGUACUUGACGAAUAAGCCCCGGCUAACUACGUGCCAGCAGCUGC